RNAcentral lists this long non-coding RNA (1417 nucleotides) under Strigops habroptila (Kakapo). RNAcentral describes it as "lncRNA (ENSSHBG00005008834.1)". Lineage: Eukaryota; Metazoa; Chordata; Aves; Psittaciformes; Psittacidae. The record is from RNAcentral.
GGUGGUUUUAAUUUCUUAGCUCAUAGGGCUGCAAACAGUUGUUGCCAAAAUAAACAGAUCCUCAGUAUCUGUUUAAGGGAAGCCACAUUCAGAGAAGCUUACAUUACAAAUUGGUAAGUUUUGAAAUAUGAUUGUUUGAUGUUAGGUAACAAGUGCUGACACUAACCCACACUUCUCGAUUCCUAUUGCCUGUAUGGAGGUUUUAUUUUUGAAGAAUAGAUAUAUCCACAGGUGUGCAACUGACACUGAAGUAGAAACACUUCUGAAAACAUGGUGCAGGCUCCGCUAAUUUACUCUAGUGGUAGGAAAAAAAACAGUGAAAGGUGUCAUCUUGCUUGAGAUGACAAUAAGACAUAUUUUAGGUCUAGAAACCUUCACUUGGGCAUACAGCUAGCUGUAAGUGAAAUCAUUGAACUAUGGGUCAGGAGAGCUGUGUUCUAGUCUAGCUCUGCUCCUAGAGAGAGCCACAAGAUCUUGCUAGGGAUGGCUCAUACCCUCGCCUCCUGUUUGGCUAUUUUGGAUUUUGAACGCUCCAACUAUAGACUGCCAGCCUGUACUUGUGCAGUGCUCACUGCUACUGAUAGUACUAAUGACUGAUACAUAUUUAAUUUAUUACAGCAUUCAGAAGAAGAGCUUGGACCUUCACAUAUGCUGACAUCACACUGGUGAGGUGUGGUUUUUGCUGCUAUUCUUCCUCUGAGAAACAACUUCUCCAAAAACACAUCAAGAAGUAUCACCUAGGUUCAGGAACUUUAUUAACCAGUUCCCAGCCCACCUUUACCCUCAAGUCACUUCCUGUGGAAUAUUAGGUUCUUCAUGCUUAAACUUCCACCAGAGCAUCCCAGCAAAUGCGGAAGCUGCUGGCAUUGUCAGACUUCUGUGCUGAAAGCCAGGGGUUAUCUGGAAGAAGAGAAGAAACAGUCCUUAUGCGGCAAUUAAAAGCACUUAGACUGGUCUUCCCAAAAGCCUUGUGUGUAUUUUGAUACAGGUGGAAACUCCAGUGUGCUGAGAGGAACAUGAAGAUUUGUGUUGCACAAAGGGUGGACAUGUCGAUUUUUUGUUCUGGUUACCUCUUAUUCUGCUUACUUACAAAUGAAGAGUUUGACAUUUGAAGGCAGAAUCUGUUAAAAUGUACCAAAGCUGACAGUGAACCCUACAGGUUGUUUCUGUACUACAGCUCUUAUUUUUGAUACAGCUCUCUACCUAAAUAAAUAAAUUUUAUAUAUAUAUAUUAUUUUUAAUAUUUAUAAACAUAUAUACAAGUAAAUUAUUUAAGAAAAUUUCCUGAUGCUGUUGGACUCAAUGUGGUAAAAAAAAAAAUCCUUAAAUUCCUUUGUUUUUAUUUUUUGUAACAAAAUGUGUCUAUUAUCAUAAGCUGAUCCAUUGUUGAAGUAAAAAUAUAAAUUAUUGAAAUAUG